GCCAGGUGCGUUGGCAUGAGCUUGUAGUCCCAGCUACUUGGGAGACUGAGGAUAGAGGAUCUCUUAAGCCCCUGAGGUCUGGGCUGUAGUGUGCUAUGUAGAUCCAAUGUCCAUACUAAGUUAGACAUCAGUAUGGUGACCUCCCCUGGGAGUGGGAGUCCACCAGGUUGCCCAAGGAGGAGUGAAUCAGCCCACAUUGGAAAUGGAGCAGGUCAAAACUCCUGUGCUGAUCAGUAGAGUUAUUUAUGCUUGAUACUGACCUGUUUGAUCAUGGUUUAUUUGUAUUUUA
This 289-nucleotide signal recognition particle RNA is filed under the name Erinaceus europaeus (western European hedgehog). Its description in RNAcentral is "Metazoan signal recognition particle RNA". It matches the Rfam family "Metazoan signal recognition particle RNA". Rfam says of the family: The signal recognition particle (SRP) is a universally conserved ribonucleoprotein. It is involved in the co-translational targeting of proteins to membranes. The eukaryotic SRP consists of a 300-nucleotide 7S RNA and six proteins: SRPs 72, 68, 54, 19, 14, and 9. Lineage: Eukaryota; Metazoa; Chordata; Mammalia; Eulipotyphla; Erinaceidae. The record is from Rfam by way of RNAcentral.